RNAcentral lists this ribosomal RNA (309 nucleotides) under uncultured eukaryote. Its description in RNAcentral is "partial 18S ribosomal RNA". It matches the Rfam family "Eukaryotic small subunit ribosomal RNA", at positions 1470 to 1796 of the family's 1831-position model. The record is from RNAcentral.
CCCUUAGAUGUUCUGGGCGGCCCGCGCACUACAUUGGCACUGGCAACAAGAUCCUAGAUCUGGUAUUUCGGGGUAUUCUACCAACUGGUGUCGUGACUGGGAUUAACCCCUGCAAUUAUUGGUUAUGAACGAGGAAUUCCUUGUAAUCACGGUUUAUCAACCCGUGUUGAAUGCGUCCCUGCCCUUUGUACACACCGCCCGUCGCUCCUACCGAUGAAUCGUCCGGUGAAGUUCAUGGAGUCGCGGCCGCUCCAGCUGUUUUCGAAGUGAAAUGGACCUCAUGAUUUAGAGGAAGGAGAAGUCGUAACA